GCAUGAAUUAGCAAAACUGACUGGUAGGC
This 29-nucleotide non-coding RNA is filed under the name Homo sapiens (human). The record is from RNAcentral. Lineage: Eukaryota; Metazoa; Chordata; Mammalia; Primates; Hominidae.